This 70-nucleotide transfer RNA is filed under the name Neogymnocrinus richeri. Its description in RNAcentral is "tRNA-Met". Lineage: Eukaryota; Metazoa; Echinodermata; Crinoidea; Cyrtocrinida; Sclerocrinidae. The record is from RNAcentral.
AGUAAGGUAAGCUAAUCAAGCUUUUAGGCUCAUGUCCUAAAUAUGGAAGGAUAGAGACCUCCUCUUACUU